This 460-nucleotide ribosomal RNA is filed under the name uncultured bacterium. Its description in RNAcentral is "partial 16S ribosomal RNA". It matches the Rfam family "Bacterial small subunit ribosomal RNA", at positions 338 to 795 of the family's 1533-position model. The record is from RNAcentral.
CCUACGGGAGGCAGCAGUGAGGAAUAUUGGUCAAUGGGCUUACGCCUGAACCAGCCAAGUCGCGUGAGGGAAGACUGCCCUAUGGGUUGUAAACCUCUUUUGUCAGGGAGCAAUUGGCGCUACGUGUAGCGUUAUCGAGAGUACCUGAAGAAAAAGCAUCGGCUAACUCCGUGCCAGCAGCAGCGGUAAUACGGAGGAUGCGAGCGUUAUCCGGAUUUAUUGGGUUUAAAGGGUGCGUAGGCGGAAUGCCAAGUCAGCGGUAAAAUCGCGGGGCUCAACCUCGCUCCGCCGUUGAAACUGGCGUUCUUGAGUAGACGAGAGGUAUGCGGAAUGAGUGAUGUAGCGGUGAAAUGCUUAGAUAUCACGCAGAACUCCGAUUGCGAAGGCAGCAUACCGGCGCCCAACUGACGCUGAAGCACGAGAGCGUGGGUAGCGAACAGGAUUAGAUACCCUUGUAGUC